This 301-nucleotide ribosomal RNA is filed under the name uncultured bacterium. RNAcentral describes it as "partial 16S ribosomal RNA". It matches the Rfam family "Bacterial small subunit ribosomal RNA", at positions 509 to 807 of the family's 1533-position model. The record is from RNAcentral.
CAGUCGCCGCGGGAAUACGAAGGGGGCUAGCGUUGCUCGGAAUGACUGGGCGUAAAGGGCGUGUAGGCGGCGAUCAAAGUCAGGCGUGAAAUUCCUGGGCUCAACCUGGGGGCUGCGCUUGAUACUUGGUUGCUUGAGUGGGGAAGAGGGUCGUGGAAUUCCCAGUGUAGAGGUGAAAUUCGUAGAUAUUGGGAAGAACACCGGUGGCGAAGGCGGCGACCUGGUCCUUGACUGACGCUGAGGCGCGAAAGCGUGGGGAGCAAACAGGAUUAGAUACCCGCGUAGUCCCUGUCUCUUAUAC